CGGACGGGUGAGGAAUACAUCGGAAUUUGCCCAGUCGUGGGGGAUAACGUAGGGAAACUUACGCUAAUACCGCAUACGACCUAACGGUGAAAGCGGGGGAUCUGUAAGGACCUCGCGCGAGUGGAUGAGCCGAUGUCGGAUUAGCUAGUUGGGGGGGUAAAGGCCCACCAAGGCGACGAUCCGUAGCUGGUCUGAGAGGAUGAUCAGCCACACUGGGACUGAGACACGGCCCAG
RNAcentral lists this ribosomal RNA (234 nucleotides) under uncultured bacterium. RNAcentral's name for it is "partial 16S ribosomal RNA". It matches the Rfam family "Bacterial small subunit ribosomal RNA", at positions 99 to 334 of the family's 1533-position model. The record is from RNAcentral.